AGAGUUUGAUCCUGGCUCAGAGCGAACGCUAGCGGCGGGCUUAACACAUGCAAGUCGAACGCGAGUUUUCGGACUCGAGUGGCGGACGGGUGAGUAACACGUGGGUAACGUACCUCUAGGCGGGGGAUAACCCAGGGAAACUUGGGCUAAUACCGCAUGUGCCCCUUCGGGGGUGAAAGGCUUCGGCCACCUGGAGAUCGGCCCGCGGCCCAUUAUUUAAUCCUUGUUGGUGGGGUAAUGGCCUACCAAGGGUACGAUGGGUAGCUGGUCUGAGAGGAUGAUCAGCCACACUGGGACUGAGACACGGCCCAGACUCCUACGGGAGGCAGCAGUGGGGAAUAUUGGACAACGGGCGAAAGCCUGAUCCAGCUACGCCGCGUGGGUGAAGAAGGCCUUCGGGUUGUAAAGCUCUGUCGGGAGGAACGAAGCCUUAGGGUUGACGGUACCUCGCAAGAAAGCACCGGCUAACUCCGUGCCAGCAGCCGCGGUAAUACGGAGGGUGCAAGCGUUGCUCGGAAUCACUGGGCGUAAAGCGACCGCAGGCGGCCUGAUAAGUCGGAUGUGAAAGCCCUGGGCUCAACCCAGGAACUGCAUUCGAAACUGUCAGGCUUGAGUUCGGGAGAGGGAAGUGGAAUUCCUGGUGUAGGGGUGAAAUUCGUUGAUAUCAGGAGGAACACCGGCGGCGAAGGCGGCUUUCUGGCCCGAAACUGACGCUCAUGGUCGAAAGCGUGGGGAGCAAACAGGAUUAGAUACCCUGGUAGUCCACGCCGUAAACGAUGUUUGCUAGGUGUUGGUGGUAUUCACCCCAUCAGUGCCGAAGUUAACGCAUUAAGCAAACCGCCUGGGGUGUACGGCCGCAAGGCUAGAACUCAAAGGAAUUGACGGGGGCCCGCACAAGCGGUGGAGUAUGUGGUUUAAUUCGACGCAACGCGAAGAACCUUACCUGGCCUUGAAAUCCCAGGAAUCCCUAUGAAAGUAGGGCGUGCCUCCUCACGGAGGAACCUGGUGACAGGUGCUGCAUGGCUGUCGUCAGCUCGUGUCGUGAGAUGUUCGGUUAAGUCCGGCAACGAGCGCAACCCCUGUCGUUAGUUGCCAGCAUUUCGGAUGGGCACUCUAGCGAGACUCCCGGUGAUAAGCCGGCGGAAGAUGGGGACGACGUUAAGUCCUCAUGGCCCUUAUGGCCAGGGCUACACACGUACUACAAUGGCGACUACAGUGGGCUGCGAUGCCGCGAGGUGGAGCUAAUCCCAAAAAAGUCGCCUCAGUUCGGAUUGGAGUCUGCAACUCGACUCCAUGAAGUCGGAAUCGCUAGUAAUCGUGGAUCAGCAUGCCACGGUGAAUACGUUCCCGGGCCUUGUACACACCGCCCGUCACACCACGAAAGUUGGCUGGACCCGAAGUCGUUGACCCAACCCGCAAGGGAGGGAGGCGCCAACGGUCUGGUUGAUGACUGGGGUGAAGUCGUAACAAGGUA
Molecule: ribosomal RNA, 1474 nt
Filed under: metagenome
Description: bacterial SSU rRNA
Rfam family: Bacterial small subunit ribosomal RNA
Source: RNAcentral